Molecule: non-coding RNA, 46 nt
Filed under: Schistosoma margrebowiei
Lineage: Eukaryota; Metazoa; Platyhelminthes; Trematoda; Strigeidida; Schistosomatidae
Source: RNAcentral
GCACUGCUGAGGAGUCCCACAACAGGGCGAAAUGGUCAUCCAGUGC